This 253-nucleotide ribosomal RNA is filed under the name uncultured bacterium. RNAcentral describes it as "partial 16S ribosomal RNA". It matches the Rfam family "Bacterial small subunit ribosomal RNA", at positions 524 to 776 of the family's 1533-position model. The record is from RNAcentral.
UACGAGGGGUGCAAGCGUUAUUCGGAAUAAUUGGGCGUAAAGGGUGCGUAGGCGGUGCAUUAAGUCCAUUGUUAAAUCCCCUAGCUUAACUAGGGACUCGCAACGGAUACUGGUGCGCUAGAGGAUGGAAGAGAAAGGUGGAACUCUUGGAGUAGCGGUAAAAUGCUUAGAUCCCAAGAGGAACACCGAUGGCGAAGGCAGCCUUUUGGUCCAUUCCUGACGCUGAGGCACGAAAGCGUGGGGAGCAAACAGG